This 333-nucleotide unclassified non-coding RNA is filed under the name soil metagenome. RNAcentral describes it as "partial contains 5.8S ribosomal RNA, internal transcribed spacer 2, and large subunit ribosomal RNA". The stretch from base 1 to 120 matches the Rfam family "5.8S ribosomal RNA", at positions 35 to 154 of the family's 154-position model. The record is from RNAcentral.
GAUGAAGAACGUAGCGAAAUGCGAUACGUAAUGUGAAUUGCAGAAUUCAGUGAAUCAUCGAAUCUUUGAACGCACAUUGCGCCCGCCAGCACUCUGGCGGGCAUGCCUGUUCGAGCGUCAUUUCAACCAUCAAGCCCCAGGCUUGCGUUGGAGCCCUGCGGCUGCCGCAGCCUCCUAAAAGCAGUGGCGGGCUCGCUAUCACACCGAGUGCAGUAGAUUACUCUUCGCUCAGGGCGUGCAGCGGGUUCCGGCCGUGAAACCCCCUACUUUUAAAGGUUGACCUCGGAUCAGGUAGGAAUACCCGCUGAACUUAAGCAUACAAUAAGCGGAGGA